AUUGAACGCUGGCGGCAUGCCUUACACAUGCAAGUCGAACGGCAGCACGGGAGCAAUCCUGGUGGCGAGUGGCGAACGGGUGAGUAAUAUAUCGGAACGUGCCCGGUCGUGGGGAUAAUGUAGCGAAAGCUACGCUAAUACCGCAUACGAUCUAUGGAUGAAAGCGGGGGAUCGCAAGACCUCGCGCGAUUGGAGCGGCCGAUAUCAGAUUAGGUAGUUGGUGAGGUAAAGGCUCACCAAGCCGACGAUCUGUAGCUGGUCUGAGAGGACGACCAGCCACACUGGGACUGAGACACGGCCCAGACUCCUACGGGAGGCAGCAGUGGGGAAUUUUUGGACAAUGGGCGCAAGCCUGAUCCAGCAAUGCCGCGUGCAGGAUGAAGGCCUUC
This 389-nucleotide ribosomal RNA is filed under the name uncultured bacterium. RNAcentral's name for it is "bacterial SSU rRNA". It matches the Rfam family "Bacterial small subunit ribosomal RNA", at positions 30 to 419 of the family's 1533-position model. The record is from RNAcentral.